AUGGUUAAGGAACUCGGCAAAAUGCCCCCGUAACUUCGGGAGAAGGGGGGCCUGAGCUUUGAAGCCCCUUCGCGGGCUAGGAGCAAGGGUCGCAGAGAACAGGGGGGAGCGACUGUUUACUAAAAACACAGGUCCGUGCGAAGCCGUAAGGCGAUGUAUACGGACUGACGCCUGCCCGGUGCUGGAAGGUUAAGAGGAACCAUCAACCCCUCUUGGGGGUGAAGUGGUGAAUUUAAGCCCCAGUAAACGGCGGUGGUAACUAUAACCAUCCUAAGGUAGCGAAAUUCCUUGUCGGGUAAGUUCCGACCUGCACGAAUGGCGUAACGACUUCUCCGCUGUCUCAACCGCGAACUCGGUGAAAUUGCAGUACGAGUAAAGAUGCUCGUUUCGCGCAGAAGGACGGAAAGACCCCGGGACCUUUACUACAACUUGGUAUUGGUGUUCGCUGUGGCUUGUGCAGGAUAGGUGGGAGACCGUGAAGCUGUCACGCUAGUGAUGGUGGAGUCGUUGUUGAAAUACCACUCUGGCCUGGGCGUGCGCCUGAACCUCGGCUCGUGAUCCGGGCCAGGGACAGUGCCUGGCGGGUAGUUUAACUGGGGCGGUUGCCUCCUAAAGAGUAACGGAGGCGCUCAAAGGUUCCCUCAGCCUGGUCGGUCAUCAGGUAGUGAGUGCAAGUGCACAAGGGAGCUUGACUGUGAGACUGACGGGUCGAGCAGGUACGAAAGUAGGAACUAGUGAUCCGGCGAUCCCGUGUGGGUGGGUCGUCGCUCAACGGAUAAAAGGUACCCCGGGGAUAACAGGCUGAUCCUGCCCAAGAGUCCAUAUCGACGGCAUGGUUUGGCACCUCGAUGUCGGCUCGUCGCAUCCUGGGGCUGGAGCAGGUCCCAAGGGUUGGGCUGUUCGCCCAUUAAAGCGGUACGCGAGCUGGGUUUAGAACGUCGUGAGACAGUUCGGUCCCUAUCCUCUGCGCGCGCAGGAGACUUGAGAAGACCUGUCCCUAGUACGAGAGGACCGGGACGGACGAACCUCUGGUAUGCCAGUUGUUCCGCCAGGAGCACGGCUGGUUAGCUACGUCCGGACAUGGAUAACCGCUGAAAGCAUCUAAGCGGGAAACCAUCUUCAAGACCAGGUCUCCACCACCCCCUCCUUUCUUUUUCGCUAUAGUGAAUAGAGGGGAGGGGUGGGAAGGCCCCCAGAUGAUGACUGGGUUGAUAGGCCGGAGGUGGACACCCAGUAACGGGUACCAAGCCGACCGGUACUAACACGGCCGAUCACACACAAGA
Molecule: ribosomal RNA, 1283 nt
Filed under: human oral metagenome
Description: bacterial LSU rRNA
Rfam family: Bacterial large subunit ribosomal RNA
Source: RNAcentral